GCAGUGCUUCAGUUCUAUCGCUGGCAAGACAUACACUAUAUGUCUUGCGAGAGGAAAGUCCGGGCAGCACAGAGCACUCCACUUGCGAAAAUACAAGCUAUUGGUAACAGUAGGUUAGGACAGAAGAAAACAACCGCCUUGCACACAUUGCAGGGUAAGGGUGAGAAGGUGGUGUAAGAGACCACCAGCCGCAGGGUGAUCUGCGGGCUGUGUCCACUGGAGGCUGUAAGUUCAUGUAUACCAUCGUCAACAAGGGCUGCUCGCCCGAUUUGAUUUUUUCAUACGAUGGAGGGUAGAACGCUUGAACAUCAAGGUGACUUGAUGACUAGAUAAAUGAUAGGACAUCUAUCGUGUUGAGAGACUCAAUAGAGAACAGAACCCGGCUUAUAGAAGCACUGCUUUC
This 403-nucleotide RNase P RNA is filed under the name Prevotella sp. Its description in RNAcentral is "RNase P RNA component class A". It matches the Rfam family "Bacterial RNase P class A". Rfam says of the family: Ribonuclease P (RNase P) is a ubiquitous endoribonuclease, found in archaea, bacteria and eukarya as well as chloroplasts and mitochondria. Its best characterised activity is the generation of mature 5'-ends of tRNAs by cleaving the 5'-leader elements of precursor-tRNAs. Lineage: Bacteria; Pseudomonadati; Bacteroidota; Bacteroidia; Bacteroidales; Prevotellaceae. The record is from RNAcentral.